AAUGGCCGCGGUACUUUGACCGUGCUAAGGUAGCGUAAUCAGUUGGCUUUUAAUGGAGGUCAGGAAUGAAUGGAAUCUUGUAUUUUAUCUGUCUCCUGAAGUAUUUAUUUGAAAUUACNAUAUAGAUGAGAAAGUCUAUAANUAGAAAAAAGCCGAGAAGACCCUUAGAGUUUCUCUAAAUAUGACAAUGAAAUGUUAUUUGGUGGGGUUGGGGCAACAUAGGAAGGCUAACCUUCCUAGAUUAAAUANNUCGAUUGUUUUAAAUUUGAAAAAACUACCUUAGGGAUAACAGCAUUAUUUAAAAAAUAAGUUUGUGACCUCGAUGUUGGACUGGGAAACUAAAAGGCU
This 348-nucleotide ribosomal RNA is filed under the name Thorunna perplexa. RNAcentral's name for it is "Digidentis perplexa partial 16S ribosomal RNA". It matches the Rfam family "Archaeal large subunit ribosomal RNA", at positions 2003 to 2623 of the family's 2987-position model. Lineage: Eukaryota; Metazoa; Mollusca; Gastropoda; Nudibranchia; Chromodorididae. The record is from RNAcentral.